AGAGCGAACGCUGGCGGCAGGCCUAACACAUGCAAGUCGAGCGCGUGUAGCAAUACACGAGCGGCAGACGGGAGAGUAACACGUGGGAACGCGCCCUUCGGUUCGGAAUAACUCAGUGAAACUUGAGCUAAUACCGGAUACGCCCUUACGGGGAAAGAUUUAUUGCCGAAGGAACGGCCCGCGUCCGAUUAGCUAGUUGGUGAGGUAACGGCUCACCAAGGCGACGAUCGGUAGCUGGUCUGAGAGGAUGACCAGCCUCACUGGGACUGAGACACGGCCCAGACUCCUACGGGAGGCAGCAGUGGGGAAUAUUGGACAAUGGGCGCAAGCCUGAUCCAGCCAUGCCGCGUGGAUGAUGAAGGCCUUAGGGUUGUAAAGUCCUUUUAACGGGGAGAUAAUGACGGUACCCGUAGAAUAAGCCCCGGCUAACUUCGCGCCAGCAGCCGC
RNAcentral lists this ribosomal RNA (447 nucleotides) under uncultured bacterium. RNAcentral describes it as "SSU rRNA". It matches the Rfam family "Bacterial small subunit ribosomal RNA", at positions 26 to 518 of the family's 1533-position model. The record is from RNAcentral.